This 341-nucleotide ribosomal RNA is filed under the name Trichomonas vaginalis G3. Its description in RNAcentral is "5.8S ribosomal RNA". The stretch from base 1 to 137 matches the Rfam family "Eukaryotic small subunit ribosomal RNA", at positions 1671 to 1831 of the family's 1831-position model. The record is from RNAcentral. Lineage: Eukaryota; Parabasalia; Trichomonadida; Trichomonadidae.
GCCCGUCGCUCCUACCGAUUGGAUGACUCGGUGAAAUCACCGGAUGCUUACGAGCAGAAAGUGAUUAAAUCACGUUAUCUAGAGGAAGGAGAAGUCGUAACAAGGUAACGGUAGGUGAACCUGCCGUUGGAUCAGUUCUAGUUUUAAUAACUAACACCAACUUCUUUUAUUAAACAAAAACCAAUACAAAAUUAAAAACUAACUUCAUCAAAAACCAAGUCUCUAAGCAAUGGAUGUCUUGGCUCCUCACACGAUGAAGAACGUGGCAUAAUGUGUUAAAGUAACCGGAGUUGCAAACAUCAUGACAGGUUAAUCUUUGAAUGCAAAUUGCGCUAAACUCG